Molecule: ribosomal RNA, 429 nt
Filed under: Triticum aestivum (bread wheat)
Lineage: Eukaryota; Viridiplantae; Streptophyta; Magnoliopsida; Poales; Poaceae
Description: partial small subunit ribosomal RNA
Source: RNAcentral
AUGGCGACUCUUUCUCCCCCUGUGGUACACCCGCGGGUCUCCCUCCGGCGACAAGGGUGGCGGCGGCUGCAUGGCUUGCCAAGCUGCCAGUUCAGACACGCCGGGAGAGUGCAGUCCAGCUACAGGGGACUCGAAGCGCUGUACGAUGAUGGGUACGGGACGGUAAAGGGCCUGGACUACUACUAUCAGGCACUCGGGCAGCUGGUGGGGUAUGACAGCGGGCCGCCCUGCUGGUUAUGCCCUGUCGAUGCUGGCUCGACGGUCGAGGAUGCUCCACUCAUGCUGUAUUUGCCAGGAGUAGAUGGGAUGGGGAUGGGGCUCUGCAUGCACCACAAGGCUCUUGGAAGGAUAUUUGAACUUAGAUGCUUGCACAUUCCUUUUCACGACCGCACACCAUUCGAAGGUAUCAGAUACCUGUGUAUUAACUGA